This 772-nucleotide ribosomal RNA is filed under the name uncultured Pelagibacteraceae bacterium. RNAcentral describes it as "bacterial SSU rRNA". It matches the Rfam family "Bacterial small subunit ribosomal RNA", at positions 66 to 886 of the family's 1533-position model. Lineage: Bacteria; Pseudomonadati; Pseudomonadota; Alphaproteobacteria; Candidatus Pelagibacterales; Candidatus Pelagibacteraceae. The record is from RNAcentral.
ACGAAGUAGCAAUACUUAGUGGCAGACGGGUGAGUAACAUGUGGGUAUCUGCCCUUUGGCCUGGAAUAACACGAGGAAACUUGUGCUAAUACCGGAUAAGUCUUUACGGAGAAAGCUUUAUGCACCAUUGGAUGAGCCUGCACUUGAUUAGUUUGUUGGUGGGGUAAUGGCCUACCAAGACUGUGAUCAAUAGCUGAUUUGAGAGGAUGAUCAGCCACAUUGGGACUGAGACACGGCCCAAACUCCUACGGGAGGCAGCAGUGGGGAAUCUUGCACAAUGGAGGAAACUCUGAUGCAGCGAUGCCGCGUGAGUGAAGAAGGCCCUUGGGUUGUAAAGCUCUUUCGUCGGGGAAGAAAAUGACUGUACCCGAAUAAGAAGGUCCGGCUAACUUCGUGCCAGCAGCCGCGGUAAUACGAAGGGACCUAGCGUAGUUCGGAAUUACUGGGCUUAAAGAGUUCGUAGGUGGUUGAAAAAGUUAGUGGUGAAAUCCCAGAGCUUAACUCUGGAACUGCCAUUAAAACUUUUCAGCUAGAGUAUGAUAGAGGAAAGCAGAAUUUCUAGUGUAGAGGUGAAAUUCGUAGAUAUUAGAAAGAAUACCAAUUGCGAAGGCAGCUUUCUGGAUCAUUACUGACGCUGAGGAACGAAAGCAUGGGUAGCGAAGAGGAUUAGAUACCCUCGUAGUCCAUGCCGUAAACGAUGUGUGUUAGACGUUGGAAAUUUAUUUUCAGUGUCGCAGGGAAACCGAUAAACACACCGCCUGGGGAGUACGAC